Non-coding RNA from Triticum aestivum (bread wheat), 136 nucleotides. The record is from Rfam. NCBI's taxonomy places the organism in Eukaryota, Viridiplantae, Streptophyta, Magnoliopsida, Poales, Poaceae.
UAUCUACUCCCUCUGUUUCCGAAUUACUUGUUUUAGAUUUAUCUAAAUACGGAGGUAUGUAGCACUAAAAUGAGUCUAGAUACAUCCGUAUUUAGACAAAUUCAAGACAAGUAAUUCGGAACGGAGGGAAUAGUGU